This 474-nucleotide ribosomal RNA is filed under the name uncultured bacterium. Its description in RNAcentral is "bacterial SSU rRNA". It matches the Rfam family "Bacterial small subunit ribosomal RNA", at positions 28 to 515 of the family's 1533-position model. The record is from RNAcentral.
GAUGAACGCUAGCGGCAGGCCUAAUACAUGCAAGGCGAGGGGUUCGCAAGGACACCGUCGUACGGGUGCGUAACGCGUAUGCAACCUACCUAUCACAGGGGGAUAGCCUUUGGAAACAGGGAUUAAUACCGCAUAAAGCAGGGGCUUGGCAUCAAGAUACUGCUAAAGAUUUAUCGGUGAUAGAUGGGCAUGCGUCUGAUUAGUUAGUUGGCAGGGUAACGGCCUACCAAGACGAUGAUCAGUAGGGGCGUCAGAGCGUGGUCCCCCACACUGGCACUGAGAUACGGGCCAGACUCCUACGGGAGGCAGCAGUAGGGAAUAUUGGGCAAUGGGUCAAGCCUGACCCAGCCAUGCCGCGUGGAGGAAGAAGGUCCUCUGGAUUGUAAACUCCUUUUGUCGGGGAAGAAGAGUCAUCUUGCGAGGUGAUGUGACGGUACCCGAUGAAUAAGCCACGGCUAACUACGUGCCAGCAGC